RNAcentral lists this ribosomal RNA (245 nucleotides) under uncultured Chitinophaga sp. RNAcentral's name for it is "partial 16S ribosomal RNA". It matches the Rfam family "Bacterial small subunit ribosomal RNA", at positions 524 to 768 of the family's 1533-position model. Lineage: Bacteria; Pseudomonadati; Bacteroidota; Chitinophagia; Chitinophagales; Chitinophagaceae. The record is from RNAcentral.
UACGGAGGGUGCAAGCGUUAUCCGGAUUCACUGGGUUUAAAGGGUGCGUAGGCGGAUCUGUAAGUCAGUGGUGAAAUCUCCAGGCUUAACCUGGAAACUGCCGUUGAUACUACUGGUCUUGAAUGUUGUGGAGGUUAGCGGAAUAUGUCAUGUAGCGGUGAAAUGCAUAGAUAUGACAUAGAACACCAAUUGCGAAGGCAGCUGGCUACACAAAUAUUGACGCUGAGGCACGAAAGCGUGGGGAU